This 405-nucleotide ribosomal RNA is filed under the name uncultured bacterium. RNAcentral describes it as "bacterial SSU rRNA". It matches the Rfam family "Bacterial small subunit ribosomal RNA", at positions 29 to 416 of the family's 1533-position model. The record is from RNAcentral.
AACGAACGCUGGCGGCGUGCCUAACACAUGCAAGUCGAGGGAGAAAAGGGGCUUCGGCUCCUGAGUAAACCGGCGCACGGGUGAGUAACACGUAGGUAACGUACCCUUGAGUCUGGGAUAACCAGUCGAAAGACUGGCUAAUACCAGAUACGACUGCGGAAGCUCCGGCUUCUGCAGUGAAAGAUGGCCUCUGCUUGCAAGCUAUCACUCGUGGAUCGGCCNGCGCACCAUUAGCUAGUUGGUGAGGUAAAGGCUCACCAAGGCUGAGAUGGUUAGCUGGUCUGAGAGGAUGGCCAGCCACACUGGGACUGAGACACGGCCCAGACUCCUACGGGAGGCAGCAGUGGGAAUAUUGCGCAAUGGGCGAAAGCCUGACGCAGCGACGCCGCGUGGGUGAUGAAGGCC